UCUCCAUCACUUUCUCCAGCCUUAAGAGAGUAACUUUCUAACACUGUAUUUCAAUGUCUUCUGGCAGAAUAUUUUCCAUCUGCUUUUUAGAUGUGUGAGUGUGGGAGGGGCAGAGGAGGCUGGGAUGGCGGGGGUGGUGUCAAGGAACAACGCCAAGACAUACUGCUCUCGUUGAAAUGAUCUACUGCUUCCUUUCUGUUUCCACAGGGCUUGCUACACUGCUCUCACUUCUCUUCAGCGUGGCUGCUGUUCUUCACUUCUCCCUGAGACAUCCCAUCUUCCUAAAAUCCUUCCCACCUUUCCUGAGAAGCCACCAACACAACUCCACAGGCAGGUGGGAAUUCAGCAGCUGAAAGGACAUGGCAUUCUGACACACCAUUCAGGUUGUCUGGAAAGCACACAGGUGAGAAGUCAAGCAGAGAAGACAAUUUGUCUUAAAUACUUAAUUUCUAAGAUAAGGUCGAGAGAAUCAGUAUAGAAUCAUGGAGUAUUUUAGUCUGAUAUAACUGUAUUUUCAGUCUAUCCUAAGAGUAGUUUGUAUGGUCAGAAUGGCUUCCACUGGGGAUCUCAGAGCUUUUCCCAAAUGCUCUUUUGAAUGAAGUCUUGUAAUGCAUCGUUUACACUGGGCAAGAAACAAACAUGAAAAUUGAUGGAAAAUUUUCCUUUUACUGGAGAUGAUCCAAACUAACAUUGCUGAGCACUCCCUUCACUUUGUGUGGAAAU
RNAcentral lists this long non-coding RNA (723 nucleotides) under Parus major (Great Tit). RNAcentral describes it as "lncRNA (ENSPMJG00000012843.1)". The record is from RNAcentral. Lineage: Eukaryota; Metazoa; Chordata; Aves; Passeriformes; Paridae.